RNAcentral lists this ribosomal RNA (291 nucleotides) under uncultured bacterium. RNAcentral's name for it is "partial 16S ribosomal RNA". It matches the Rfam family "Bacterial small subunit ribosomal RNA", at positions 773 to 1060 of the family's 1533-position model. The record is from RNAcentral.
GUGGAUUAGAUACCCUGGUAGUCCACGCCGUAAACGAUGAUAACUAGCUGCUGGGGUGCAUGGCAUUUCAGUGGCGCAGCUAACGCAUUAAGUUAUCCGCCUGGGAGUACGGUCGCAAGAUUAAAACUCAAAGGAAUUGACGGGGGCCUGCACAAGCGGUGGAGCAUGUGGUUUAAUUCGAAGCAACGCGCAGAACCUUACCAACGUUUGACAUCCCUAUCGCGGAUCGUGGAGACACUUUCCUUCAGUUCGGCUGGAUAGGUGACAGGUGCUGCACGGUCGUCGCCAGCU